Hemicordylus capensis (graceful crag lizard) is the source of this 832-nucleotide long non-coding RNA. RefSeq lists it as uncharacterized. The transcript has 3 exons. NCBI's taxonomy places the organism in Eukaryota, Metazoa, Chordata, Lepidosauria, Squamata, Cordylidae. The record is from RefSeq and is a predicted model, not a curated record.
CUCACAAGAAGGCAAGUAAGUAAAUGCAAGUUGUAUUAGGCAGGGGAGGGGAAGAAGAAUGUAAAGGAAAAGAAACUGCCUGAGGGCUGCAUAAUCACAUUGUUCUGCUGUGCUGACUGACCCUCAAGAAGAGAUGUUACAAGCUGCUGAACUUGUAGAAGACAACAGUGUGCUGAGAAGGAAAUGACCUUGCCAUCUCUUCAUCAAAUGUGUGUGACAGACAAGGAGAUGAAAACUGCUGCAGAAGGCAGACCGUAAUGCUGCUAAAAUCCUUGUGGAGAAACCCUGUCCCACCUGUGACUGCAACAUCUGCUGCCUAGCAGUUAGACUGCUGGCAAGGGAAUAUGUCCCUGUGGCUCAUUGCAGAGGAAAGUUGUUGCUCAGCGUUCAGCCCCAGAAAGGCCCCUAUGGGUUUGCCACAUCCGGACUGACACAGUUGCUGCUCCCUUUUCACAUUGCUGCUGUGGUUUAAAAGCAACAUUUAGUAUGCCCAUUUAUGGUAAAGAGGAUGGGCCUUCUUUUGGUAAAGGGGAGGCCAUGUGCAGGCACUUUCCACAGUGGAAGUAUGGCGAGAUAUUUCCUAGUGAGAACAAUGUGAUUUUUUAAAAAUUAGAAAGGUUUAAGGGCUCGGUGAGGGACAGCUGAAAAUCUUGAUUUGGGUAGGUUCUGAAAGUGCCAUAUUGCUGUUCAAAGAAGCUCUGUUUUUUCUGAUUUUACCUGAUUGGCAGCUGCAAAAUCACACCCAAAAUGUUGAAAUGUGAUUGGGUAUUGAUGGCUCUCUGCUGCUUUUUUAAAAUAAAUGUAGUGCGAAAGACCACCUUUGCACUAGGGA